AGAGUUUGAUCCUGGCUCAGAUUGAACGCUGGCGGCAUGCCUUACACAUGCAAGUCGAACGGCAGCACGGAGCUUGCUCUGGUGGCGAGUGGCGAACGGGUGAGUAAUAUAUCGGAACGUACCCUAGAGUGAGGGAUAACGUAGCGAAAGUUACGCUAAUACCGCAUACGAUCUAAGGAUGAAAGUGGGGGAUCGCAAGACCUCAUGCUCGUGGAGCGGCCGAUAUCUGAUUAGCUAGUUGGUAGGGUAAAAGCCUACCAAGGCAUCGAUCAGUAGCUGGUCUGAGAGGACGACCAGCCACACUGGAACUGAGACACGGUCCAGACUCCUACGGGAGGCAGCAGUGGGGAAUUUUGGACAAUGGGCGAAAGCCUGAUCCAGCAAUGCCGCGUGAGUGAAGAAGGCCUUCGGGUUGUAAAGCUCUUUUGUCAGGGAAGAAACGGUGAGAGCUAAUAUCUCUUGCUAAUGACGGUACCUGAAGAAUAAGCACCGGCUAACUACGUGCCAGCAGCCGCGGUAAUACGUAGGGUGCAAGCGUUAAUCGGAAUUACUGGGCGUAAAGCGUGCG
RNAcentral lists this ribosomal RNA (568 nucleotides) under uncultured bacterium. Its description in RNAcentral is "bacterial SSU rRNA". It matches the Rfam family "Bacterial small subunit ribosomal RNA", at positions 8 to 571 of the family's 1533-position model. The record is from RNAcentral.